UCAGAUGUGAAAGCCCCGGGCUUAACCUGGGAACUGCAUUUGAAACUGGUCAACUAGAGUAUGGUAGAGGAAAGUGGAAUUUCUGGUGUAGCGGUGAAAUGCGUAGAUAUCAGAAGGAACAUCAAUGGCGAAGGCAGCUUUCUGGACCAAUACUGACGCUGAGGUACGAAAGCGUGGGUAGCAAACAGGAUUAGAUACCCUGGUAGUCCACGCCGUAAACGAUGAUAACUAGCCGUUGGGGGGAUUUACCCUUUAGUGGCGAAGCUAACGCGUUAAGUUAUCCGCCUGGGGAGUACGGCCGCAAGGUUAAAACUCAAAUGAAUUGACGG
Molecule: ribosomal RNA, 329 nt
Filed under: uncultured bacterium
Lineage: Bacteria
Description: bacterial SSU rRNA
Rfam family: Bacterial small subunit ribosomal RNA
Source: RNAcentral